Non-coding RNA from Nicotiana tabacum (common tobacco), 3054 nucleotides. The record is from RefSeq and is a predicted model, not a curated record. NCBI's taxonomy places the organism in Eukaryota, Viridiplantae, Streptophyta, Magnoliopsida, Solanales, Solanaceae.
AAAAACUCCAUUCUCUCCCGGGUGCAUGUAUUCACUUAACGCCAGUACUUCCUUUAAAACACUGAAGAAAGCACUCACUCUCACCACUUCCCUUGUUUCAGAUCAGAGACCGAUUAUUAUGGGUCGAUACACUGAAGAUUUCGAGGAGAAAGAGCUGUUGGGAAGAAAGGUGGAUUCGCAAUUGUUUAUCAAUGCAAGCAUAGACUUGACGAGUCUUUGUAUGCUGUGAAGAAGAUACCUUUUAAUGAUCAGCAGCUUCAGGAAAAAUUAAGGGAGGUGAAAAUACUUGCAGCUGUACAACAUCCUAGGGUUGUACGCUAUUAUCAGAAACUCUGAAUUUUAGUUACAAGCACCGUCAACCUAAAAAGGUUAGUUAUGCUAUUUUACUUAACGCAAUCAAUUUGCAUAAACCAUUAUUUUGUACAUGAUUGAUAAAAGCUAGUAUUAUUUUGUAUCUGUCAUUAGUAUGAGUGAAGUGUUCUUUGUGUCAAUUGUUAAGUUAUUUGUGCUCUUGGCGUUAAUAAUUUCAUGAUAUAAUUUAUGUUGUUUGUGUUUACUUUGCUGUGCACACUUUGAAUGAGGAAGCUCUGCUUUUCGUUGUCUCUAUUUGGGAUCUGGUGUUAGAAAAAAAAACAGUGAAACAAAAGCCUUUCUGAUAAAUUUGUCAAUCAAUGUAGCUGUUGAACUUAGCUUUAUUAAGGUAAAAGUAUCAAUAUUCUGAAAACAGAAGUUAUGAAAUGAAACUAAGAUGACUUGAGACUUACAGACUUCGUCUUUUUGAACAUUCUAUUAUUAAUGAUAAAGCGAUACCUGCAUCGUCCUUCUAAAGUCAUAAGAGACUCAUCUUCCCUCUUGAAAGAGGUUUAAAGUACCACUUCUAUUCUCGACAUAGUCUAUAACACGAUGAUUAAUUGUGAUUGUGUGCACAAUUGCCUACGCUUCUGCCUCUGUUCAGCUCUGCUAAUUGACUUAAUUAGACAAGUUCUUCAAAUAAGAGCUUAAAUUACAAUGCAAAAAUAAAUACCCACUAUUGUUAAUCUACUUGAGUACACCCGCUGAUAGCUGAAAAUUGAAUAGUCGCAUAAGUGACUACUGUACUGUCCUAAAUCCAGGGCAACCUACCCACUUCGUUCUUGGACAUAUGGAUGUACUCCUCCAUCGCCUUUAUAAGGCAACAUCAUUAGUAGCAAGGUCCAAUAGAAAUUGUUUCUCCUUUUCUCCGGUAACUAGGUUAUGAAAAUGAUAUAGACUGAGUACUUUUAGUAGUUGGAAUAGGUUCAGUUAGUAAUUUUUAGUUUUGUUUUAUGUUUAAAGGGUAAACUAUUUCUUUGUUCCUUUUCUGUUUACCAAACUGAACUAGACUUUCCUUUUUCAUUCACCUUGUAAUUUUUCUAAUAACCUGCUCAAAUGAUUAGACUUGUCCAAAUUAGAGCCUUACCCAUGUUUGAAGUUUUAUAUUUCCUUGAGACAAGUUGGGAAUAUUUGUUGUACUACCAUUUAAGAAUUUUGAUAUGCUUGAUGUGUUUCUUUAACUAUUAGUCUGAUUGGCAGUUUGAGAUUCAGGUUAUGAUUGCGGGAACAUCGUUCAUUCACAACAAAUGCAACAGUUGAAUUUUGUUUUGCUGUAGAAUUUUUGUGGUAUCACUAUCAGUAUAGUGUAGAUAAUGAAGGACAAUCAUGAUUCAACUUUAUGGUGACAGAUUAAUUUGUGAGAAUGAGAUCCUAAUCGGUUUGAUAUUACGCCAUCCAAUUGCUAUAUGAAUUCCCUUUCUACCAUGACUGCAAACCACUUGUCCUUCCAAAACUUGAUAUGUUGACCAUUCCCUUCUACAAAGUGUUUGUUCACUGAGAAUUCUUCCCGUAGCUUACAAAUGUUCUUCCAGACACCAACUCCAUUGGGUGCUCUUGAUAAUUUAGUGCAAAAAUGAUUCAGGACUCCAUGUUUGGCAUUGACAACUUCCUUCCAAAGACAUUGCUCAUCCUGUGUGUACCUGAUAUGAACAUUAAUAUAAUAUAUUUUUAGUAGGUGCUAGUUUAAAUAUGUAUUCUCUGUUUGCUAAAUCCAAAUGCUAGUGUAGUAACCUGUGAGCAACUUAACUGGGUCGAGUAUUUCCUUAUCUUCCCUGCUAGAUUUCUUCCACCUCUAAAUUUGGAGUUGUGCAAUCUUUGUGAGCUUGUCAUGCUUUAGUCUCUUCAUUCACUGUGCCCAUGUGUUUCAUGUCAUUUAAAUGUCUUGAUAUGCCCCUGUAAAAACUGUUCCUGAAUGUGUUGUAUUCUACUAGUGUUAAUUGUGUAAGAGUGCUCAUAUAACUAAAGCAAUACCCUUUGGUUUGAAGUUAGUGUCAGUACUACAGUGCAGGUGGAACGCAGGAGGUAGGAGUGUUCAUGUUAGGCUCUUAGUUUCUUAGAGGAAAACUAAAGGAAGUACUGAAUAGAGGUUGAGUAUCAUACCAUUGGAAUUCUUGUCAAAUAUUGAAAGCAAAAGGAUCAGCACUAAUAAUGAUUAACAGUUCUUGAACUCCUGGAUCUUGAGUAACUGACUGAAAAAACUCUUGGGCCUUGUAUUUGAAACAUAUACAAUGUGCUGGGACUGACCGAUCCUAAAAGUUGUUUAUCUUUCCCUUUUAACACAAUGAUUCUCAAUUUUAACAUGCAAUUCCAAAACUUGAAGCAAAAAGAUCUUACUAUUACUCAAUACUUACAUAAGGCUAACAUCCAUAUGAUGUAUUAGACAGUAAAUACGCACAGCUUGCAAUUGCAGUAUUUGAUCUGCCUUCAUCACCAUCUUCAAUUGAGCAGCAGAUUGAAUCAUUUAACAGAUCAAACAUUUGAAGUCCGAAGACCUAUCCUUGAUGAAAGUGUAGAGCAAGUUGAAGUACAAGAGGUUUAUGUUUUGUUAGAGAUGGUUUAAAGACACUGUACAUAUGCUGCAAUUUUAUGUCUCUUUUAGGAAUUAUUAAAAAUGAUGUCAUACGAUUCAGAUUGGUUUAUGUUAAAUAUGAUACUUUAGUUCUUUGUAUUAACAAAGAUAUCAAGUAUUUGGUUUAUUUUCAA